This 75-nucleotide transfer RNA is filed under the name Aliiroseovarius halocynthiae. Its description in RNAcentral is "tRNA_Glu_TTC". It matches the Rfam family "tRNA". Rfam says of the family: Transfer RNA (tRNA) molecules are approximately 80 nucleotides in length. Their secondary structure includes four short double-helical elements and three loops (D, anti-codon, and T loops). RNAcentral also lists the same sequence under 22 other names. Lineage: Bacteria; Pseudomonadati; Pseudomonadota; Alphaproteobacteria; Rhodobacterales; Paracoccaceae. The record is from RNAcentral.
GGCCCGUUCGUCUAUCGGUUAGGACGCCAGGUUUUCAACCUGGAAAGACGAGUUCGAUUCUCGUACGGGCUGCCA